This 209-nucleotide ribosomal RNA is filed under the name uncultured bacterium. Its description in RNAcentral is "partial 16S ribosomal RNA". It matches the Rfam family "Bacterial small subunit ribosomal RNA", at positions 1292 to 1500 of the family's 1533-position model. The record is from RNAcentral.
UUCGGAUUGUAGUCUGUAACCCGACUACAUGAAGCUGGAAUCGCUAGUAAUCGCGGAUCAGAAUGCCGCGGUGAAUACGUUCCCGGGUCUUGUACACACCGCCCGUCACACCAUGGGAGUCGGAAAUGCCCGAAGUCUGUGACCCAACCUUAGGGAGGGAGCAGCCGAAGGCAGGUCGGAUGACUGGGGUGAAGUCGUAACAAGGUAAC